Molecule: ribosomal RNA, 250 nt
Filed under: uncultured bacterium
Lineage: Bacteria
Description: partial 16S ribosomal RNA
Rfam family: Bacterial small subunit ribosomal RNA
Source: RNAcentral
UAGAUACCCUGGUAGUCCACGCCCUAAACGAUGUCAACUAGUUGUCGGGUCUUCAUUGACUUGGUAACGUAGCUAACGCGUGAAGUUGACCGCCUGGGGAGUACGGUCGCAAGAUUAAAACUCAAAGGAAUUGACGGGGACCCGCACAAGCGGUGGAUGAUGUGGAUUAAUUCGAUGCAACGCGAAAAACCUUACCUACCCUUGACAUGUAUGGAAUCCUGCUGAGAGGUGGGAGUGCCCGAAAGGGAGC